AAACAUUUGAAGAGGCUGGGUCUUGUAAUCCUUUUUGCAUUUGAAGUAUGAUUUAUAUGAACAGCUGAUUAUUCAAAUCUCAACUACCAGCUUCUUCCCUGCAAUCAAGUAUUUAGAGUUUUAUCCUGGAUUCAUAUUUUCAGCUCAAGCGUGGGCACAAACUGAACACAAAAUGGACAAGCCCCUGUACAAAAACAUAACUCUAAGGGAAUGGCUGUCACAUUUAUUUAUUUAUUGUUACUGUUGAAGGAAUGGAUAAUGAGAUGAAGAUGAUGAGAUGAAAAGAGAUAAUGGGACAAAAAGAGAGUGAACUUUCAUUUUCUUCUGUUCUUCUUCCUCAGGUGCACGUCUCCGCAUUUACAGCUCAAGCAGUGCAUCCACAUUCUGGACAUGUUGGACUUUUCAGCUCUCUAAAGAACGCUAUCAGAGUGCCCUCGAUACACAAGCUGCCUAGCUGCCCUUGGGAAAUGCUCUCUGUGCAGUUGCUUCAAGUUCUGUGCAAAUGA
Molecule: long non-coding RNA, 506 nt
Filed under: Cyanistes caeruleus (blue tit)
Lineage: Eukaryota; Metazoa; Chordata; Aves; Passeriformes; Paridae
Description: lncRNA (ENSCCEG00000006780.1)
Source: RNAcentral